CAAGGCGCUUGAGAGAACUCGGGUGAAGGAACUAGGCAAAAUGGUGCCGUAACUUCGGGAGAAGGCACGCUGAUAUGUAGGUGAAGCGACUUGCUCGUGGAGCUGAAAUCAGUCGAAGAUACCAGCUGGCUGCAACUGUUUAUUAAAAACACAGCACUGUGCAAACACGAAAGUGGACGUAUACGGUGUGACGCCUGCCCGGUGCCGGAAGGUUAAUUGAUGGGGUUAGCGCAAGCGAAGCUCUUGAUCGAAGCCCCGGUAAACGGCGGCCGUAACUAUAACGGUCCUAAGGUAGCGAAAUUCCUUGUCGGGUAAGUUCCGACCUGCACGAAUGGCGUAAUGAUGGCCAGGCUGUCUCCACCCGAGACUCAGUGAAAUUGAACUCGCUGUGAAGAUGCAGUGUACCCGCGGCAAGACGGAAAGACCCCGUGAACCUUUACUAUAGCUUGACACUGAACAUUGAGCCUUGAUGUGUAGGAUAGGUGGGAGGCUUUGAAGUGUGGACGCCAGUCUGCAUGGAGCCGACCUUGAAAUACCACCCUUUAAUGUUUGAUGUUCUAACGUUGACCCGUAAUCCGGGUUGCGGACAGUGUCUGGUGGGUAGUUUGACUGGGGCGGUCUCCUCCUAAAGAGUAACGGAGGAGCACGAAGGUUGGCUAAUCCUGGUCGGACAUCAGGAGGUUAGUGCAAUGGCAUAAGCCAGCUUGACUGCGAGCGUGACGGCGCGAGCAGGUGCGAAAGCAGGUCAUAGUGAUCCGGUGGUUCUGAAUGGAAGGGCCAUCGCUCAACGGAUAAAAGGUACUCCGGGGAUAACAGGCUGAUACCGCCCAAGAGUUCAUAUCGACGGCGGUGUUUGGCACCUCGAUGUCGGCUCAUCACAUCCUGGGGCUGAAGUAGGUCCCAAGGGUAUGGCUGUUCGCCAUUUAAAGUGGUACGCGAGCUGGGUUUAGAACGUCGUGAGACAGUUCGGUCCCUAUCUGCCGUGGGCGCUGGAGAACUGAGGGGGGCUGCUCCUAGUACGAGAGGACCGGAGUGGACGCAUCACUGGUGUNGAUAUGUAGGUGAAGUCCCUCGCGGAUGGAGCUGAAAUCAGUCGAAGAUACCAGCUGGCUGCAACUGUUUAUUAAAAACACAGCACUGUGCAAACACGAAAGUGGACGUAUACGGUGUGACGCCUGCCCGGUGCCGGAAGGUUAAUUGAUGGGGUUAGCGCAAGCGAAGCUCUUGAUCGAAGCCCCGGUAAACGGCGGCCGUAACUAUAACGGUCCUAAGGUAGCGAAAUUCCUUGUCGGGUAAGUUCCGACCUGCACGAAUGGCGUAAUGAUGGCCAGGCUGUCUCCACCCGAGACUCAGUGAAAUUGAACUCGCUGUGAAGAUGCAGUGUACCCGCGGCAAGACGGAAAGACCCCGUGAACCUUUACUAUAGCUUGACACUGAACAUUGAGCCUUGAUGUGUAGGAUAGGUGGGAGGCUUUGAAGUGUGGACGCCAGUCUGCAUGGAGCCGACCUUGAAAUACCACCCUUUAAUGUUUGAUGUUCUAACGUGGACCCGUAAUCCGGGUUGCGGACAGUGUCUGGUGGGUAGUUUGACUGGGGCGGUCUCCUCCUAAAGAGUAACGGAGGAGCACGAAGGUUGGCUAAUCCUGGUCGGACAUCAGGAGGUUAGUGCAAUGGCAUAAGCCAGCUUGACUGCGAGCGUGACGGCGCGAGCAGGUGCGAAAGCAGGUCAUAGUGAUCCGGUGGUUCUGAAUGGAAGGGCCAUCGCUCAACGGAUAAAAGGUACUCCGGGGAUAACAGGCUGAUACCGCCCAAGAGUUCAUAUCGACGGCGGUGUUUGGCACCUCGAUGUCGGCUCAUCACAUCCUGGGGCUGAAGUAGGUCCCAAGGGUAUGGCUGUUCGCCAUUUAAAGUGGUACGCGAGCUGGGUUUAGAACGUCGUGAGACAGUUCGGUCCCUAUCUGCCGUGGGCGCUGGAGAAUUGAGGGGGGCUGCUCCUAGUACGAGAGGACCGGAGUGGACGCAUCACUGGUGUUCGGGUUGUCAUGCCAAUGGCACUGCCCGGUAGCUAAAUGCGGAAGAGAUAAGUGCUGAAAGCAUCUAAGCACGAAACUUGCCCCGAGAUGAGUUCUCCCUGACCCUUUAAGGGUCCUGAAGGAACGUUGAAGACGACGACGUUGAUAGGCCGGGUGUGUAAGCGCAGCGAUGCGUUGAGCUAACCGGUACUAAUGAACCGUGAGGCUUAACCUU
RNAcentral lists this ribosomal RNA (2247 nucleotides) under Escherichia coli. RNAcentral describes it as "bacterial LSU rRNA". The stretch from base 944 to 2247 matches the Rfam family "Bacterial large subunit ribosomal RNA". Lineage: Bacteria; Pseudomonadati; Pseudomonadota; Gammaproteobacteria; Enterobacterales; Enterobacteriaceae. The record is from RNAcentral.